RNAcentral lists this ribosomal RNA (426 nucleotides) under Mycoplasma zalophidermidis. Its description in RNAcentral is "bacterial SSU rRNA". It matches the Rfam family "Bacterial small subunit ribosomal RNA", at positions 1 to 430 of the family's 1533-position model. The record is from RNAcentral. Lineage: Bacteria; Bacillati; Mycoplasmatota; Mollicutes; Mycoplasmatales; Mycoplasmataceae.
UUUUUCGAGAGUUUGAUCCUGGCUCAGGAUGAACGCUGGCUGUGUGCCUAAUACAUGCAUGUCGAGCGAAGUACUUUUGUACUUAGCGGCGAAUGGGUGAGUAACACGUACUCAACGUACCCUUCAGAUUGGGAUAGCGGUUGGAAACAACCGAUAAUACCAAAUACUUGUAGUUAUCGCAUGAUGAUUACAUAAAAGGCGCGUUUGCGCCACUGGAGGAGCGGGGUGCGUAACAUUAGCUUGUUGGUGAGGUAACGGCCCACCAAGGCGAUGAUGUUUAGCGGGGUUGAGAGACUGAACCGCCACACUGGGACUGAGAUACGGCCCAGACUCCUACGGGAGGCAGCAGUAGGGAAUAUUCCACAAUGGACGAAAGUCUGAUGGAGCGACACAGCGUGCAGGAUGAAGGCCCCAUGGGUUGUAAAC